GUUACUCGUUAUGUUCUCCAUGUAAUGAAUGAGCCAAGAAUGGAGUCCCGAAGAAAGAGAGCGGCGACUUUUUAUAGUGGGAGGUGUUAGUUGCAUCAGCUAAACCCGGACACGUGGGCGGGGCUUAAGCACUGUUGAAGGUUUCGGAGGUGUCUCACGCAACAUGUCGAGGCAUUACACUGUCAGCAGACUGAACAGGAUAAGUGGUCUACAAAUAGAAGGAAGUGGAGGAACAUGCAAAAACGCUGUGAGCGACAGAAAUGAAUUAACAGCAUAUGGAAAGCACAGCGGAAGGCAUCUAUACUUGAUGACGAGAAACUGAAGGAGGAGAAAUCAGCCAUUACUAAUCGGUAGCCGAUCGAUCGGAGCAUCCCUAACGUACAUUAUGCUUGAACAAUGUGGUGACUUCAGCGAGCUGUGGUUGUGAGAACUGUUAGAAGAGCUCCGUGCAUCGUGGGUACACAGACUGGUCCCCACAUGAGAACCACCUGUACCUGUACCACCUGUACCACCUGUACCAUUUAAUAACACACAUCAAAAUCCUGCUUUUACAAAGAUCAAGACUGAUCUCAAAACUGAAACCAGGUAAAUGCAACAAAAUGGAGAGCUGUGAAGCAUACAAGCAUAUUGCAUGUGAGCCUGUCUCCAUGAUGACAUCACUGGGGGAUGUUGGACCCCUUGUGUGACUUCAGUUUCUGCUUGAGGAUGCUCCGCCCGCACCCAGUUGGGUUCAGUUCUGGAGGAGACGUAUGGGCUACUUGAUGAACUUCACCUCCUGAGCAAGGCACUUAUUUGGAGGUGUGUUUGAGCUUGUUAUCUCGUUGCAACCCAGUUUCCCCAAGAGAGGGGCAGCAUUCACGCAACCCCAGACCAUGACUCAACCAACACCAUGCUUGACUGUGGGCAAGACACAAUUAUCUUGCUACUUAUUUGUGUCGCCAGGUAUUUAGACAAUUAUGGCUGUGUUGAGUCAUUUCCCAUGGGUAGUAAAGCUAUACUGCUCUACCAGCUGUGCACUGACUACUCUAAUCAUAAAUUGUUUGCUGAAAUGUGAAGGCUGUACUCUCACUCUAUUGCUGUGUCGAUGGUAAUCAGCAUGUUGGCCACACAGUCAGGAGAUCGGGACGAUCUGGGUUCUAAUCUCCGUUUGGCAUCUGUGUGUAGAGUUUGCAUGUUCUCCCCGUGCGUGCGCGGGGUUUUUCCGGGUACUCUGGUUUCCUCCCACAUUCCAAAAACAUGCAUGUUAGGUUUCUAAAUUAUCCAUAGGUAUUAAUGUGAGUGUGAAUGUUUGUUUGUCAAUAUGUGCCCUGUGAUUGGCUGGCGAGCAGUCCAGGGUGUACCCCGCCUCUCGCCCAAAGUCAGCUGGGAUAGGGUCCGCGACCCCAGUGAGGAUAAGCGGAAUAGAAAAUGGAUGGAUGGA
Long non-coding RNA from Dunckerocampus dactyliophorus (ringed pipefish), 1420 nucleotides. RefSeq lists it as uncharacterized. Lineage: Eukaryota; Metazoa; Chordata; Actinopteri; Syngnathiformes; Syngnathidae. The transcript has 7 exons. The record is from RefSeq and is a predicted model, not a curated record.